GAUGAAGAACGCAGUGAAAUGCGAUAAGUAAUGUGAAUUGCAGAAUUCAGUGAAUCAUCGAAUCUUUGAACGCACAUUGCGCCGCCAGUAUUCUGGCGGGCAUGCCUGUUCGAGCGUCAUUACAACCCUCAGGCCCCCGGGCCUGGCGUUGGGGAUCGGCGGAGCCCCCCGUGGGCACACGCCGUCCCCCAAAUACAGUGGCGGUCCCGCCGCAGCUUCCAUCGCGUAGUAGCUAACACCUCGCGACUGGAGAGCGGCGCGGCCACGCCGUAAAACACCCAACUCUUCUGAAGUUGACCUCGAAUCAGGUAGGAAUACCCGCUGAACUUAAGCAUAUCAAUAAGCGGAGGA
RNAcentral lists this unclassified non-coding RNA (351 nucleotides) under soil metagenome. RNAcentral describes it as "partial contains 5.8S ribosomal RNA, internal transcribed spacer 2, and large subunit ribosomal RNA". The stretch from base 1 to 119 matches the Rfam family "5.8S ribosomal RNA", at positions 35 to 154 of the family's 154-position model. The record is from RNAcentral.